RNAcentral lists this unclassified non-coding RNA (240 nucleotides) under soil metagenome. RNAcentral describes it as "partial contains 5.8S ribosomal RNA, internal transcribed spacer 2, and large subunit ribosomal RNA". The record is from RNAcentral.
AACCAUAGAAACCUGCGGAGUACCUGCGGAAGGAUCAUUGAUAAUUUAAACCAUUUAGCCUGGGGUUUUAAGCUAGAUCCCAUAUGAAGCUGAGAUCUGAGAACGAAAUCUUUCUUAGACAGUAAGCUGAAUGCGGGAUCUAGUCCCAGGUUUAAAUAUCAACCAACUUGUGAACCGUAUAUAAUGCAGUCUUUCCGGUGAAGAAAUCUCCUUUUAGCUGACUCUGAGAGAAGAACUCGU